AUUGAACGCUGGCGGAGUGCUUUACACAUGCAAAUCGAACGGCAGCACGGACUUCGGUCUGGUGGCGAGUGGCGAACGGGUGAGUAAUGUAUCGGAACGUGCCCAGUCGUGGGGGAUCACGUAGUGAAAAUUACGCUAAUACCGCAUACGAUCUGUGGAUGAAAGCGCGGGAUCGCAAGACCUCGCGCGAUUGGAGCGGCCGAUAUCAGAUUAGGUAGUUGGUGGGGUAAAGGCCCACCAAGCCAACGAUCUGUAGCUGGUCUGAGAGGACGACCAGCCACACUGGAACUGAGACACGGUCCAGACUCCUACGGGAGGCAGCAGUGGGGAAUUUUGGACAAUGGGCGAAAGCCUGAUCCAGCCAUUCCGCGUGCAGGAUGAAGGCCCUCGGGUUGUAAACUGCUUUUGUACAGAACGAAAAGGUUUCUACUAAUACUAGGAGCUCAUGACGGUACUGUAAGAAUAAGCACCGGCUAACUACGUGCCAGCAGCCGCGGUAA
This 500-nucleotide ribosomal RNA is filed under the name uncultured bacterium. Its description in RNAcentral is "partial 16S ribosomal RNA". It matches the Rfam family "Bacterial small subunit ribosomal RNA", at positions 30 to 523 of the family's 1533-position model. The record is from RNAcentral.